UAUAUGUAUGCCAUUUUCCGCGAUUGCCUUGAUUUGUUAAAAGAAAAUGAUUCACAACAAAAUAUUAAGGCACGCGGUGAAUGUCAUCCACGGUGC
This 96-nucleotide microRNA precursor is filed under the name Schistosoma japonicum. RNAcentral describes it as "microRNA sja-mir-124 precursor". Its record names the gene sja-mir-124. The record is from miRBase by way of RNAcentral. Lineage: Eukaryota; Metazoa; Platyhelminthes; Trematoda; Strigeidida; Schistosomatidae.